RNAcentral lists this ribosomal RNA (427 nucleotides) under uncultured bacterium. Its description in RNAcentral is "partial 16S ribosomal RNA". It matches the Rfam family "Bacterial small subunit ribosomal RNA", at positions 355 to 774 of the family's 1533-position model. The record is from RNAcentral.
UAGGGAAUCUUCCGCAAUGAGCGAAAGCCUGACGGAGCAACGCCGCGUGAGUGAUGAAGGUCUUCGGAUCGUAAAACUCUGUUAUUAGGGAAGAACAAAUGUGUAAGUAACUAUGCACAUCUUGACGGUACCUAAUCAGAAAGCCACGGCUAACUACGUGCCAGCAGCCGCGGUAAUACGUAGGUGGCAAGCGUUAUCCGGAAUUAUUGGGCGUAAAGCGCGCGUAGGCUGUUUUUUAAGUCUGAUGUGAAAGCCCACGGCUCAACCGUGGAGGGUCAUUGGAAACUGGAAAACUUGAGUGCAGAAGAGGAAAGUGGAAUUCCAUGUGUAGCGGUGAAAUGCGCAGAGAUAUGGAGGAACACCAGUGGCGAAGGCGACUUUCUGGUCUGUAACUGACGCUGAUGUGCGAAAGCGUGGGGAUCAAACA